GCCAGGACUCUGCCUCAGCACUUUCUGCUUCCAUUUCAUUCUCCCCAUGGCCACUCUCAGAAAGUUCUCAGAGAGGCCACCAAACUGAUGCCCUGAGAUGGAAGAUGUACAAGACUUGCUGCUGAGAAUACAGAAUUGGAACCACUUUGGCACUCUUCACAAAAAUCAGAGCUUCCAUCCUAAUUUUUCCUACCCUGUGCCUUUCUGCAACAGAGAUUUUUCUUCUACAAGUGGUUUCCAGACAAGAUUUAGUGCACAUUACGAACACCUUGCCAAGAAGGGGAGUGAGAGCACUGGGAUUUAA
This 304-nucleotide long non-coding RNA is filed under the name Parus major (Great Tit). Its description in RNAcentral is "lncRNA (ENSPMJG00000002658.1)". The record is from RNAcentral. Lineage: Eukaryota; Metazoa; Chordata; Aves; Passeriformes; Paridae.